This 478-nucleotide ribosomal RNA is filed under the name uncultured bacterium. Its description in RNAcentral is "partial 16S ribosomal RNA". It matches the Rfam family "Bacterial small subunit ribosomal RNA", at positions 28 to 507 of the family's 1533-position model. The record is from RNAcentral.
GACGAACGCUGGUGGCGUGCUUAACACAUGCAAGUCGAACGGGAUUUAGUAAACAGAAGCCUCGGUGGAAGAUUACUAAUGAGAGUGGCGAACGGGUGAGUAACGCGUGAGCAACCUGCCUAUGACAGUGGGAUAGCCUCGGGAAACCGGGAUUAAUACCGCAUAAAAUCGUAGAAACACAUGUUUUAACGAUCAAAGAUUUAUCGGUCAUAGAUGGGCUCGCGUCUGAUUAGCUAGUUGGUGAGAUAACAGCCCACCAAGGCGACGAUCAGUAGCCGGUCUGAGAGGAUGAACGGCCACAUUGGAACUGAGACACGGUCCAAACUCCUACGGGAGGCAGCAGUGGGGAAUAUUGCACAAUGGGGGAAACCCUGAUGCAGCGACGCCGCGUGAACGAAGAAGGUAUUCGUAUCGUAAAGUUCUGUCCUAUGGGAAGAUAAUGACAGUACCAUAGAAGAAAGCUCCGGCUAAAUACGUG